UACGUAGGGUGCGAGCGUUAAUCGGAAUUACUGGGCGUAAAGCGUGCGCAGGCGGUUUUGUAAGCCAGAUGUGAAAUCCCCGGGCUUAACCUGGGAAUGGCAUUUGGGACUGCAAGGCUUGAGUGCGGCAGAGGAGACUGGAAUUCCUGGUGUAGCGGUGAAAUGCGCAGAUAUCAGGAAGAACACCCGUGGCGAAAGCGGCUCUCUGGAACGGUACUGACGCUGAGACGCGAAAGCGUGGGGAGCGAACAGG
Molecule: ribosomal RNA, 253 nt
Filed under: uncultured bacterium
Lineage: Bacteria
Description: partial 16S ribosomal RNA
Rfam family: Bacterial small subunit ribosomal RNA
Source: RNAcentral